UCUCUGGUGGUCUAGUGGUUAAGACUUCGCACUCUCAAUGCAGGAGACUUGGGUUUGAUCCUUGGUCAGGGAA
This 73-nucleotide transfer RNA is filed under the name Bos taurus (domestic cattle). It matches the Rfam family "tRNA". From Rfam's summary of the family: Transfer RNA (tRNA) molecules are approximately 80 nucleotides in length. Their secondary structure includes four short double-helical elements and three loops (D, anti-codon, and T loops). The record is from Rfam by way of RNAcentral. RNAcentral also lists the same sequence under 5 other names. Lineage: Eukaryota; Metazoa; Chordata; Mammalia; Artiodactyla; Bovidae.